Non-coding RNA from Cucurbita maxima (winter squash), 73 nucleotides. Lineage: Eukaryota; Viridiplantae; Streptophyta; Magnoliopsida; Cucurbitales; Cucurbitaceae. The record is from the annotation of a RefSeq genome assembly.
GGGUUCAUAGCUUAGUGGUAGAGCAUUUGACUGCAGAUCAAGAGGGUCACCGGUUCGAAUCUGGUUGUGCUCU